RNAcentral lists this ribosomal RNA (502 nucleotides) under uncultured bacterium. RNAcentral describes it as "partial 16S ribosomal RNA". It matches the Rfam family "Bacterial small subunit ribosomal RNA", at positions 30 to 523 of the family's 1533-position model. The record is from RNAcentral.
AUUGAACGCUGGCGGCAUGCCUUACACAUGCAAGUCGAACGGCAGCACGGGAGCUUGCUCCUGGUGGCGAGUGGCGAACGGGUGAGUAAUACAUCGGAACGUACCCAGGAGUGGGGGAUAACGUAGCGGAAGUUACGCUAAUACCGCAUAUUCUGUGAGCAGGAAAGCGGGGGAUCGCAAGACCUCGCGCUCUUGGAGCGGCCGAUGUCGGAUUAGCUAGUUGGUGAGGUAAAAGCUCACCAAGGCGACGAUCCGUAGCAGGUCUGAGAGGAUGAUCUGCCACACUGGGACUGAGACCCGGCCCAGACUCCUACGGGAGGCAGCAGUGGGGAAUUUUGGACAAUGGGGGCAACCCUGAUCCAGCCAUGCCGCGUGAGUGAAGAAGGCCUUCGGGUUGUAAAGCUCUUUCGGCGGGGAAGAAAUGGCAACGGCUAAUAUCCGUUGUUGAUGACGGUACCCGCAUAAGAAGCACCGGCUAACUACGUGCCAGCCGCCGCCGUAA